AGACGUCUACAUUAGAUACCCCGGUAGUCCAGGGUGUAAACGCUGCAGACUUGGUGUUGGGAACCCUUCGGGGGUGUCCAGUGCCGGAGAGAAGUUGUUAAGUCUGCUACUUGGGGAGUACGUCCGCAAGGAUGAAACUUAAAGGAAUUGGCGGGGGAGCACCGCAACGGGAGGAGCGUGCGGUUUAAUUGGAUUCAACACCGGAAAACUCACCAGUGAAGACUGUUACAUGAAAGCCAGGCUGAUGACCUUGCUAGAUUUUCAG
Molecule: ribosomal RNA, 265 nt
Filed under: uncultured archaeon
Lineage: Archaea
Description: partial 16S ribosomal RNA
Rfam family: Archaeal small subunit ribosomal RNA
Source: RNAcentral